GGGUCGGUGCCGGAGCGGCCAAUCGGACGUGGCUGUAAACCACGCGGCUUUACGCCUUCGGGGGUUCGAAUCCCUCCCGGCCCA
Candidatus Wildermuthbacteria bacterium is the source of this 84-nucleotide non-coding RNA. The record is from Rfam. NCBI's taxonomy places the organism in Bacteria, Candidatus Wildermuthiibacteriota.